RNAcentral lists this ribosomal RNA (1451 nucleotides) under metagenome. Its description in RNAcentral is "bacterial SSU rRNA". It matches the Rfam family "Bacterial small subunit ribosomal RNA". The record is from RNAcentral.
AGAGUUUGAUCCUGGCUCAGGAUGAACGCUGGCGGCGUGCCUAACACAUGCCUUCAUUGAUUACUUCGGUAUGAUCUGUUGGUGGAAAGUGGCGAACGGGUGAGUAACACGUAGGUGACCUGCCUCGAAGUGGGGGAUAACCAUUGGAAACGAUGGCUAAUACCGCAUGGCUUUGUUAGAGUGGGAACUUUGACAAAUAAAGCUCUGGCGCUUUGAGAGGGGCCUGCGUCCGAUUAGCUAGUUGGUGGGGUAAUAGCCCACCAAGGCGACGAUCGGUAGCUGGUCUGAGAGGACGAUCAGUCACACGGGAACUGAGACACGGUCCCGACUCCUACGGGGGGCAGCAGUGAGGAAUAUUCGGCAAUGGGGGCAACCCUGACCGAGCAACGCCGCGUGGAGGAUGAAGGCCCUUGGGUCGUAAACUCCUUUUCUGUGGGAAGAGAAAAAGGACGGUACCACAGGAAUAAGUCACGGCUAACUACGUGCCAGCAGCCGCGGUAAUACGUAGGUGGCAAGCGUUAUCCGGAAUUACUGGGCGUAAAGCGUACGCAGGCGGUUGAUUAAGUCUGACGUGAAAGCUCCUGGCUUAACUGGGAGAGGUCGUUGGAAACUAAUUAGCUUGAGGUGAUGAGAGGGGUGCGGAAUUCCCGGUGUAGUGGUGGAGUGCGUAGAUAUCGGGAGGAACACCAGUGGCGAAAGCGGCACCCUGGCAUUUACCUGACGCUCAUGUACGAAAGCGUGGGGAGCGAACGGGAUUAGAUACCCCGGUAGUCCACGCCGUAAACGAUGAACACUAGGUGUAGGUGGCAUCAAACCCAUCUGUGCCGAAGCAAACGCGAUAAGUGUUCCGCCUGGGGAGUACGGCCGCAAGGCUAAAACUCAAGGGAAUUGACGGGGGCCCGCACAAGCAGCGGAGCGUGUGGUUUAAUUCGAUUCAACGCGAAGAACCUUACCUGGGUUUGGCAUGUACGUAGUAGUGAACCGAAAGGGGAACGAGCCUUCGGGCAGCGUACACAGGUGCUGCACGGCUGUCGUCAGCUCGUGUCGUGAGAUGUUGGGUUAAGUCCCGCAACGAGCGCAACCCUCGUCGUUAGUUACAAGUGUCUAGCGAGACUGCCGGUAUCAAGCCGGAGGAAGGUGGGGAUGAUGUCAAGUCAGCAUGGCCUUUAUAUCCAGGGCUACACACACGCUACAAUGGCUGGUACAAUGGGCAGCGAAACCGCGAGGUGGAGCGAAUCCUAUCAAAGCUAGUCGUAGUUCGGAUUGCAGGCUGCAACCCGCCUGCAUGAAGCCGGAGUUGCUAGUAACCGCAGUCAGCCAUACUGCGGUGAAUACGUUCCCGGGCCUUGUACACACCGCCCGUCACGUCAUGGAAGUUGGUAACACCUGAAGUCGGUGACCUAACCGCAAGGAAGGAGCUGCCUAGGGUGGGGCUGAUAACUGGGACGAAG